Molecule: transfer RNA, 74 nt
Filed under: Elusimicrobiota bacterium
Lineage: Bacteria; Pseudomonadati; Elusimicrobiota
Also listed under: 1 other name
Description: Elusimicrobia bacterium (anaerobic digester metagenome) tRNA-Gly
Rfam family: tRNA
About the family: Transfer RNA (tRNA) molecules are approximately 80 nucleotides in length. Their secondary structure includes four short double-helical elements and three loops (D, anti-codon, and T loops).
Source: RNAcentral
GCGGGCGUAGUUCAAUGGUAGAACGCGACCUUGCCAAGGUCAAGAUGUGGGUUCGAUUCCCAUCGCCCGCUCCA